RNAcentral lists this ribosomal RNA (63 nucleotides) under Ulva prolifera. RNAcentral's name for it is "partial 18S rRNA". It matches the Rfam family "Eukaryotic small subunit ribosomal RNA", at positions 1769 to 1831 of the family's 1831-position model. Lineage: Eukaryota; Viridiplantae; Chlorophyta; Ulvophyceae; Ulvales; Ulvaceae. RNAcentral also lists the same sequence under 2 other names. The record is from RNAcentral.
CCGUUUAGAGGAAGGAGAAGUCGUAACAAGGUCUCCGUAGGUGAACCUGCGGAGGGAUCAUUG